AACGAACGCUGGCGGCAUGCCUAACACAUGCAAGUCGAACGAUACCUUCGGGCCUAGUGGCGCACGGGUGCGUAACGCGUGGGAACCUGCCCUUAGGUUCGGAAUAACUCCCCGAAAGGGGUGCUAAUACCGGAUAAUGUCUUCCGACCAAAGAUUUAUCGCCUUUGGAUGGGCCCGCGUUGGUUUAGCUAGUUGGUAGGGUAAAGGCCUACCAAGGCGACGAUCCAUAGCUGGUCUGAGAGGAUGAUCAGCCACACUGGGACUGAGACACGGCCCAGACUCCUACGGGAGGCAGCAGUGGGGAAUAUUGGACAAUGGGCGAAAGCCUGAUCCAGCAAUGCCGCGUGAGUGAUGAAGGCCUUAGGGUUGUAAAGCUCUUUUACCCGGGAUGAUAAUGACAGUACCGGGAGAAUAAGCUCCGGCUAACUCCGUG
Molecule: ribosomal RNA, 433 nt
Filed under: uncultured bacterium
Lineage: Bacteria
Description: partial 16S ribosomal RNA
Rfam family: Bacterial small subunit ribosomal RNA
Source: RNAcentral